This 2566-nucleotide long non-coding RNA is filed under the name Homo sapiens (human). RNAcentral's name for it is "non-protein coding lnc-AIG1-9:1". Lineage: Eukaryota; Metazoa; Chordata; Mammalia; Primates; Hominidae. The record is from RNAcentral.
AAGCCGCGUCCAGGGCAGGCAGCGCGCGGCGGCGCGGCGGCGCGGGGCGGGCGGCCAGGGCUCCCCUCUCCCGCUGGCGCUCCCGGCGCCUCCGUCCCCGGCCGGCCCAGCGCUGCUACCGGAGGCCAGCCCUGGGGCUCCGCGGGGAAGAGCUGCUCUUCCUCCCGGAGGAAACCGAGCUCGCAAGCCCAGCGCUCCCAGCCGCAGACUGCAGGCUGCCCUCCUCCACCGCCUGGAUUUCCCACGGGGAGGAAAAGGCGUGCGUUUCCAGGUGUUUGGAGGACGCACUGGCCGGGCGCACUUUCCUCAGCGUAAUUUUGAACGCAGUUUCCCUAAAGAUGACUCUUUUUUCCACUAGGAUUAUUUCCAAGUCAUCAAAAGUGAAAAAUCACAUGGAGUCUCACUCUGUCAGACAGGCUGGAGUGCGGUGGGGCGAUCUCGGCUCACUGCAACCUCUACGUCCCGGGUUCAGGCGAUUCUCCUGUCUCUGCCUCCCAAGUAGCUGGGACUACAGGCACGUGCCACCACACCAGGCUAAUUUUUGAAUUUUAGUAGAGAUGGGGUUUCAUCAUAUUGGCCAUGCUGAUCUCGAACUCCUGACCUUGUGAUCCACCCACCUCAGCGUCCCAAAAUGCUGGGAUUACAGCCGUGAGCCACCGCCCGACCACCAGCACCUAAUUCUACUAAUUCUACAGGUUGGUUGUGAGGGCUAAGUGACGUAAUGUGGAGAGAGAGCCUGGGAUGGAGCCUGGCACAGGUGAGUGCUCUUUAAGCCUAAAUUGCCUUCCUUCUAACGGAUUUGCUAAAUUGGCACUGUGCUGAUUUUUUUAAGUGUUUAGUUCAUCCUUGUAAUACCAUAAUUACAGAAUAUAAUGACAUUGCAUUCUCUACAACUACAAAGUAGAAUUUAUAAACUGAUAGAAUAUGAGCUGGAAGAAGCUUUAGGAGCCAUCUGUUCCAAUCUCUUCCAUUUCCAAAUGAGGUCCAAAGAGCUUCGAUGACUUGUUUCCAAGUUUUCACAGAAAGUUAAUUGCAAAGACAGGACUAGAUCUUGCGUCCCUCCCACCCCCACUCCUGCUAUACCCUUCGCUUUUGCUUCACAUUACACAGGCAUGGCAACGCAUGUAAUUUUCUAACAAUUAAGCAGUAUAAAAUAACCUCAAUUUAAUUGCAUCCAAUUAACAAGCCAAAUUAGCGUUUCAUAUGUACACUAUUAAACUAGUUGUCUGCCUUCCAAAAGAAAUAAAACACUGUUUCAAAUAAAUCUAGCGUUUUGGUGAACAAAGCUACUUACAGUUUAAAUCACCUUUCCUAUAAUCUUCUUUAUAUGGAAUUAGACAUUAAUCUCCAUUUUAAAAGAAAUAUUUUCUGCAACUAUCAGGAUGAGAAUUCACGCUGUAUUUAAGUAGCAAAAUUUUCUCUCUCACAGAACACCUAUGGUUUUCUAUGAUUUGUAUAUGUGUGUAUGCACACGUGCAAACCUGUACACAUAUGCACGCUGUCAGAUCCCUAAUCAAAUACAAACGAAGGUGUGUCCACAUUUACCUACUGCCCUAGUUUCAAAAGUCCCACCUUUUCCCUAGGCUUCUGAACUCAAGUGAAUCUGCCACAGUGCAAAUAAUAAGAGCUUCGAUGAUCUGCUUUUUUUCUUCUUGCAGAGAAAAUGAAACCAUUAAAUAAAUCUUUGCCAAACAAAGCACUGCAUUUCAAAUACACUGCACUACACUAUCUGUCCAGUAUUGUAAUGAUUUAGAUACAGCUGGGUAUCAAUUAAAAAGCAGUAUUCCAGUUAACCACGAAAUGAAUCAGUGGCCCAUUCCUUAUACAUGUAUCCCUAAAAAUAUAAUUACCUUGUAAUUUUAACUAUAAACAUGUCUGCAAGUUGGUGUUUGAUGGUCAACUUUCACUACUAAUAUUUAUAAAUAUAUUCCGUAGUAAAAAAAAUUUUAUAUUAGGUUAAAAUAAUAAUGCACUACUUAAAAUGUUCAAAUUGACAACCUGUCAUACACAUUUGGCAAUGUUUAACAAAAUAUUUUAAUCACUUUUGUUACUUACUUUUAGGGUACUUUUAAACACAUCAAUUAACAGAGUAAAAGAAUUCAUAUUAUCAUUCAGUAGGGGCAACUUUCAUUACUUCUCUUUAGGAUAUUUUGGCAAUCUAACUGUCUCCUUGCCACCGAGAUAUUCAUCCCAUAUACCCUCAUAAGCUUUCUGAAACACACACUUUAUAGCAUCACCUCUCUGCUCAAAAACCUUCAGUGAUGUCCAGCUUUCUCUGCAGGUCUUUGAGGCACCACAAGAUCUGGAGCUACGUACCUUUCCAGGCUCCCAACUCUUCCUCUGCCCUGGUACUAUCCCUGUCCCCUCCCAUCCCAGGUCAGAGUAUGAGGAGCUCCUGACUCCCUUCUUUACUCAGUGAAAUUCUACUUAACAUUCAAGAUCCUCAGUAAAAAAAAGAAUCACCUCCUCUCAUAAGAACCCUCUAAUCUUUCCAGUUGGAAAAAAUCCUGCUUCCAUUUAUACUCUACUCCCAAUUGUAAGUUUUAAUAAAGUUUACUAUAAGCCA